RNAcentral lists this ribosomal RNA (545 nucleotides) under uncultured bacterium. RNAcentral describes it as "bacterial SSU rRNA". It matches the Rfam family "Bacterial small subunit ribosomal RNA", at positions 358 to 917 of the family's 1533-position model. The record is from RNAcentral.
GGAAUUUUCCGCAAUGGGCGAAAGCCUGACGGAGCAACGCCGCGUGAGGGAUGAAGGCCUCUGGGCUGUAAACCUCUUUUCUCAAGGAAGAAGAUCUGACGGUACUUGAUGAAUAAGCCACGGCUAAUUCCGUGCCAGCAGCCGCGGUAAUACGGGAGUGGCAAGCGUUAUCCGGAAUUAUUGGGCGUAAAGCGUCCGCAGGCGGCCUUGUAAGUCUGUCGUUAAAGCGUGGAGCUUAACUCCAUUUCGGCGAUGGAAACUACAAGGCUUGAGUGUGGUAGGGGCAGAGGGAAUUCCCGGUGUAGCGGUGAAAUGCGUAGAUAUCGGGAAGAACACCAGUGGCGAAGGCGCUCUGCUGGGCCAUAACUGACGCUCAUGGACGAAAGCCAGGGGAGCGAAAGGGAUUAGAUACCCCUGUAGUCCUGGCCGUAAACGAUGAACACUAGGUGUCGGGGGAAUCGACCCCCUCGGUGUCGUAGCCAACGCGUUAAGUGUUCCGCCUGGGGAGUACGCACGCAAGUGUGAAACUCAAAGGAAUUGACGGA